This is a long non-coding RNA of Mauremys reevesii (Reeves's turtle), 1461 nucleotides long. RefSeq lists it as uncharacterized. Lineage: Eukaryota; Metazoa; Chordata; Testudines; Geoemydidae. The transcript has 3 exons. The record is from RefSeq and is a predicted model, not a curated record.
CAAAUGGAUACCUAUUGACAUAGAUACCUUUGCAUUCCUGAAUUACCUUUUUUUAUACUGAAGAAUGGAAGACUCAAUCUCUAAGCCAAAAUUUUAAAAAAACGAUUGGGCUUUUUAUUAUUCAUAAAAUUGCAAAACCUUGGCAUGGAUGAUUGUAGCCGAGCUUCAAGAUUUUAUAUAUUCUUCUAGUGUAUAAUGCUGUAGAACAGUCAAGUUAAUAUGAAAAUUGUUCAUCCAGGAUUUUUUUUGUUAAUGUUUUGUCUAUUUUUUUUUAAAGUUAAGUUUUACUGUAUUUUUUGUGUCUGAGUGUCAAUAGAACUUUUUCCCAUCUGAACGUAAUGAUGUUAGAAACAUGCUGUACUUGGAGCAAUAUGUUUCAUCACACUUGAGCUUGACUCAGCAAACUGCUACUAUAUUUGGAGGAAUAAAACCAUUUCAUGCAUUACUGAAGUGAAGAAAAGCUUCCACCCUUUCUCUUUCUUUUCUUGGAGAAAAAGAAUGAUUCCAAGGAACCCAGGAAUAUGAAGCAUUAGGAAGACAGGCAUCCAUCCUACUUCUAUAAUGUACAUUCAGAUGCCUUCUACAGUUUACCUUGACUUCUCCCAUUCUUUAAAACCACACACGGCUGAAUUCUGAACCAUUGAAUUCAGUGUCAAAACUUCUACACCACAAACUGAGCCAGGAGCAUGACUGGAUUUGUGGUGUUACUAUAGUGUUAUAAUACUAUAAACAUGAAGCAGAUUCAUUGGUUUGUCCAUCUAUCACCGCUCUCUUUAUACAUAGAUGCACAGGGGAUUCUAGUCACACCUACCACAGUGAAAAUGGGUAGCUCAUUUCUUUUAAAUAAUUUUAAUGGAAAUUAAAGGGCAAUACUUAAAACCUCAAAGCAAACUUGAGUGGUUGCCUUGGGAUUACCCUGGCAGACAGCCAGAAUAGCCUGCACUAUGCCUCUGCCUCCCAGCCUUGUCCCUGGUGUAGUGGAUGUGGCCAGUGACAAGAAGCAGCCCAGAUUGCAGCAAUUCCUGAAUGUUGGAAUGGCCCCCUCAGGGGUCAUCACAUCCCUGAUGCGUCCUGAUGCUCUUUGUUUCCACAAGCUGCUCAGGUGUCAAAUGGCCAGUCCUGAGGAUCCGGCCCUCAGUGUGUAUACACUUCACAUCAAGGAGACAAUGAAGCCCAAGUUGUAUUAUUCCAAACGAAAUCCCAAAUCAGAGAAUAAAAUUAGAAAGCACUGGAUUAGAAACUGCCAAGGACUGAACUGCAAGAGAUCGUAUUAUUGUAUUUAUUUCACGUUUAUUACAGUCUGUGUCAGUUUCCUCUAAAGUUGAUUUAUUUUGUGAAAACUCUUUUUUGUUACUGAGUUUACCAACCUCUUUCACAAACCAUUGGCAGAAUGCAGGGGAGAUCCACUCUCUUGCGUGGAAACCACAAUCCAUAAAGAUGGCUUUUUUGUUUGAACCACUU